RNAcentral lists this ribosomal RNA (465 nucleotides) under Vreelandella stevensii. RNAcentral's name for it is "partial 16S ribosomal RNA". It matches the Rfam family "Bacterial small subunit ribosomal RNA", at positions 338 to 795 of the family's 1533-position model. The record is from RNAcentral. Lineage: Bacteria; Pseudomonadati; Pseudomonadota; Gammaproteobacteria; Oceanospirillales; Halomonadaceae.
CCUACGGGUGGCAGCAGUGGGGAAUAUUGGACAAUGGGCGAAAGCCUGAUCCAGCCAUGCCGCGUGUGUGAAGAAGGCCUUCGGGUUGUAAAGCACUUUCAGUGGGGAAGAAAGCCUUGGGGCUAAUACCCUCGAGGAAGGACAUCACCCACAGAAGAAGCACCGGCUAACUCCGUGCCAGCAGCCGCGGUAAUACGGAGGGUGCGAGCGUUAAUCGGAAUUACUGGGCGUAAAGCGCGCGUAGGCGGUCUGAUAAGCCGGGUGUGAAAGCCCCGGGCUCAACCUGGGAACGGCAUCCGGAACUGUCAGGCUAGAGUGCAGGAGAGGAAGGUAGAAUUCCCGGUGUAGCGGUGAAAUGCGUAGAGAUCGGGAGGAAUACCAGUGGCGAAGGCGGCCUUCUGGACUGACACUGACGCUGAGGUGCGAAAGCGUGGGUAGCAAACAGGAUUAGAUACCCUGGUAGUC